UGAUCAAUGAUGACUCCCACAAAAACAUUCCUUGGAAGUGGAACAAAAUGAGUGAAAACUCUAUUAAAAAAAGAAAAAAAUAUGUUAUUA
Molecule: small nucleolar RNA, 90 nt
Organism: Marmota flaviventris (yellow-bellied marmot)
Lineage: Eukaryota; Metazoa; Chordata; Mammalia; Rodentia; Sciuridae
Product: small nucleolar RNA SNORD116
Source: RefSeq, a predicted model, not a curated record